RNAcentral lists this transfer RNA (74 nucleotides) under Ignavibacteriales bacterium. Its description in RNAcentral is "tRNA-Arg". It matches the Rfam family "tRNA". Rfam says of the family: Transfer RNA (tRNA) molecules are approximately 80 nucleotides in length. Their secondary structure includes four short double-helical elements and three loops (D, anti-codon, and T loops). Lineage: Bacteria; Pseudomonadati; Ignavibacteriota; Ignavibacteria; Ignavibacteriales. RNAcentral also lists the same sequence under 1 other name. The record is from RNAcentral.
GCACCCGUAGCUUAAUUGGAUAGAGCAUCUGACUACGGAUCAGAAGGUUCGGGGUUCGACUCCCUGCGGGUGUA